UCUGCGGAGAGCAGCGGUCAUGGACUGGUCAGGGAGCAGCGCAGAGGCAGAGGGUCCACCAGCUCUGAGCAGAUCAUGGACACAGCGGCAAAACGCAUCGGCGGUUCAUCUGCGAUCAAAUAGGACCAGCCUCAAAGGAUGUAGCUCAGCUGGCCCUAGAGCAGGUGACCCAGGACCCACACAUCAAAGAACUGGCGGAAGUUCUCAAGCGCAUCGCACAACAGGUGGACAAUGACAAGGAGCUGCAGAGGAUGAUGGGAAUGGACAGAGUCUUCACUGCUGAGGACUUUCUCAAAGUGGCACGCCAUGUAUUUUCAGACGGCAUCACCG
Long non-coding RNA from Talpa occidentalis (Iberian mole), 330 nucleotides. RefSeq lists it as uncharacterized. Lineage: Eukaryota; Metazoa; Chordata; Mammalia; Eulipotyphla; Talpidae. The transcript is spliced from 4 exons. The record is from RefSeq and is a predicted model, not a curated record.